Molecule: long non-coding RNA, 1059 nt
Filed under: Pongo abelii (Sumatran orangutan)
Lineage: Eukaryota; Metazoa; Chordata; Mammalia; Primates; Hominidae
Description: lincRNA
Source: RNAcentral
ACCUUUGCAAGAGGGUCCAAGACAUUUGCAUCAUCGUUCAGCGAGAGCUGUAAACACAGCAUCUGCCUUUGACCACAUCCAUCUGGAAGAACCUGAGAGAUAAUCCAUUUUAUGAAAUUUUCCCUACCCUGAAAUGGGAGAAGGGAACCAAGUUCUGGAGAAGCUCCUGGGCUGCUAGAACUGGGUGCUGGAGAAACCAGGUGUGCUGAAGGAAGUUGAUGAAACAAACACACCGGAAUCAGAAAGAGAAUCCCCUUCUUCCUGCAGUAUUCCACCAGUGCCUUCUACUGACAAAGCUUCACAUUAUGUCAGCUGACUUAGGAGAAAUAUUUGCAGGGUCCAGCUGCAUUAUCCACGGAAUAGGGAAUGAAGGAUGGAGUUGGAGCUGAAAGAAAAUAAGCUGACAACUGGCACAGUAAAGUAUUUGGCUCCACAGUCUCUACGUACACCCUUCUAUACAUAUUUACGCUUCUGUGCAACAAUGAAACAACUCUGUAUUUCACCUAAAAAGAUACAGCUGUCUUAAAAUGUAAAGAAGUCCUCAGCUUUGCUUUACAAUGAGGAGAUGCACAGUCUCAGUUGUCAUUAUUUCCAUCAUUGGCUAUAUAUUAAAUAUUUCUAAAAUCCUGUCACAGUCUCUGUUACCUAAAAAUAAAUUUGUAAAAUUAAUCCCCAAGAACUUAUAUGUAAAAUAAAAAUGAGAAGAAGAAAAUGGUUAGUAGCUUAUAUGAGGGGUCUUCAAAAAGUUCACAGAAAAUGUGUAUUUUAUAUAUAUAGAUAGAUAGAUGUGUGGAUUUCAAACAUUUUUGGCACAAAAGUGAACUCGUACUAACUUGUUAUAACAUGCCUGAACAGAAUCUAAUUUGAAGCACUAAGAAGGAUAAGGCAUCCAUUUGAAAAGGACUCCUAUAUUGCAACAUGAAUUCUGCUAAAAUUGAAGCAAGAACAAACACCAAAUUUAUGAUGAAGUUUGGAUAGAAGAAUGAUGAAAUUAUUGACACUUUAUAAAAAGUUUAUUGGGACAAUACCCCAAAUGAAUCAGCAGUUUAAAAAUGGAUA